RNAcentral lists this ribosomal RNA (464 nucleotides) under uncultured bacterium. RNAcentral describes it as "bacterial SSU rRNA". It matches the Rfam family "Bacterial small subunit ribosomal RNA", at positions 337 to 794 of the family's 1533-position model. The record is from RNAcentral.
GCCUACGGGAGGCAGCAGUCGAGAAUUUUUCACAAUGGGCGAAAGCCUGAUGGAGCGACGCCGCGUGGGGGAUGAAUGGCUUCGGCCCGUAAACCCCUGUCAUUUGCGAACAAACCUCGUUAUUUAAAAGAUGACGAGUUGAUAGUAGCGAAAGAGGAAGGGACGGCUAACUCUGUGCCAGCAGCCGCGGUAAUACAGAGGUCCCAAGCGUUGUUCGGAUUCACUGGGCGUAAAGGGUGCGUAGGUGGUCGGGUAAGUCUGAUGUGAAAUCUCCAAGCUCAACUUGGAAAUGGCAUCGGAUACUAUUCGGCUUGAGGGUUGGAGGGGAGACUGGAAUUCUCGGUGUAGCAGUGAAAUGCGUAGAUAUCGAGAGGAACACCAGUGGCGAAGGCGAGUCUCUAGACAACUCCUGACACUGAGGCACGAAAGCCAGGGGAGCAAACGGGAUUAGAUACCCCGGUAGC